Non-coding RNA from Ameiurus melas (black bullhead), 73 nucleotides. Lineage: Eukaryota; Metazoa; Chordata; Actinopteri; Siluriformes; Ictaluridae. The record is from the annotation of a GenBank genome assembly.
AGCACUCUGGCUUAGUGGUUAGCGUGUUUGCCUCACACCCUUGGGGUUAGGGGUUCAAAUCCCAUCUCUGCAC